CGCACAUUGCGCCCAUUAGUAUUCUAUUGGGCAUGCCUGUUCGAGCGUCAUUUCAAACCCUUACGCCUCUGUUGCGUAGUGUUGGGGGAUUACUGGAGUCGUUCCUGUAACCUCUUAAAAUCAGUGGCAGAGUCGGUCUUGUACUCUAGACGUAGUAAUUUUAUUAUCUCGCCUAAUAGUGAAGCCCGGUACCUUGCCGUAAAACAACCCAAUUUCGAAAUGUUGACCUCGAAUCAGGUAGGAAUACCCGCUGAACUUAA
RNAcentral lists this unclassified non-coding RNA (260 nucleotides) under Xylariales sp. RNAcentral describes it as "partial contains 5.8S ribosomal RNA, internal transcribed spacer 2, and large subunit ribosomal RNA". The record is from RNAcentral. Lineage: Eukaryota; Fungi; Ascomycota; Sordariomycetes; Xylariales.